This 252-nucleotide ribosomal RNA is filed under the name uncultured bacterium. Its description in RNAcentral is "partial 16S ribosomal RNA". It matches the Rfam family "Bacterial small subunit ribosomal RNA", at positions 15 to 263 of the family's 1533-position model. The record is from RNAcentral.
GAUCAUGGCUCAGGAUGAACGCUAGCUACAGGCUUAACACAUGCAAGUCGAGGGGCAUCAGGGUGUAGCAAUACUCCGCCGGCGACCGGCGCACGGGUGCGUAACGCGUAUGCAACCUACCUUUAACAGGGGCAUAACACUGAGAAAUUGGUACUAAUUCCCCAUAACAUUCGAGAAGGCAUCUUCUUGGGUUAAAAACUCCGGUGGUUAAAGAUGGGCAUGCGUUGUAUUAGCUAGUUGGUGAGGUAACGG